Molecule: ribosomal RNA, 254 nt
Filed under: uncultured bacterium
Lineage: Bacteria
Description: partial 16S ribosomal RNA
Rfam family: Bacterial small subunit ribosomal RNA
Source: RNAcentral
GACGUAGGGAGCGAGCGUUGUCCGGAUUCAUUGGGCGUAAAGGGUCCGUAGGCGGCUCAGCAAGUCAGGUGUGAAAUCUCCAGGCUCAACCUGGAGGGGCCACCUGAUACUGCUGUGGCUUGAGUCCAGUAGGGGAGCAUGGAAUUCCCGGUGUAGCGGUGAAAUGCGCAGAUAUCGGGAGGAACACCAGUGGCGAAGGCGGUGCUCUGGGCUGGAAAUGACGCUGAUGGACGAAAGCGUGGGUAGCAAACAGG